UUAGGAAUCUUCCACAAUGGGCGCAAGCCUGAUGGAGCGACGCCGCGUGAGGGAUGAAGGUUUUCGGAUCGUAAACCUCUGAAUCUGGGACGAAAGGCCCGCAAGGGAGAUGACGGUACCAGAGUAAUAGCACCGGCUAACUCCGUGCCAGCAGCCGCGGUAAUACGGAGGGUGCAAGCGUUACCCGGAAUCACUGGGCGUAAAGGGCGUGUAGGCGGUCCAAUAAGUCUGGCUUUAAAGACUGAGGCUCAACCUCAGGGAUGGGCUGGAGACUGUUGGACUAGACCUCUGGAGAGGAACUCGGAAUUUCUGGUGUAGCGGUGGAAUGCGUAGAUACCAGAAGGAACACCGAUGGCGAAGGCAGAGUUCUGGACAGAAGGUGACGCUGAGGCGCGAAAGUGUGGGGAGCGAACC
Molecule: ribosomal RNA, 414 nt
Filed under: uncultured bacterium
Lineage: Bacteria
Description: bacterial SSU rRNA
Rfam family: Bacterial small subunit ribosomal RNA
Source: RNAcentral